GACGGAGGGGGCUAGCGUUGUUCGGAAUUACUGGGCGUAAAGCGCGCGUAGGCGGCUUUUCAAGUCAGGGGUGAAAUCCCGGGGCUCAACCCUGGAAUUGCCUUUGAAACUGUAGAGCUUGAGUGUCGGAGGGGAUAGCGGAAUUGCUAAUGUAGAGGUGAAAUUCGUAGAUAUUAGCAGGAACACCGGUGGCGAAGGCGGCUAUCUGGACGACAACUGACGCUGAGGCGCGAAAGCGUGGGGAUCAAACAGG
This 253-nucleotide ribosomal RNA is filed under the name uncultured bacterium. RNAcentral describes it as "partial 16S ribosomal RNA". It matches the Rfam family "Bacterial small subunit ribosomal RNA", at positions 524 to 776 of the family's 1533-position model. The record is from RNAcentral.